This 2962-nucleotide ribosomal RNA is filed under the name Chloroflexota bacterium. RNAcentral's name for it is "Chloroflexi bacterium 23S ribosomal RNA". It matches the Rfam family "Bacterial large subunit ribosomal RNA". The record is from RNAcentral. Lineage: Bacteria; Bacillati; Chloroflexota.
GUUAAGCUAUUAAGUGCUUAUGGUGGAUGCCUUGGCACCAAGUGCCGAUGAAGGACGUGGGACACUGCGAAAAGCCUCGGGUAGCCGUGUACAGGCUUUGAUCCGAGGAUGUCCGAAUAGGGAAACCUGCUGCGGCGAACCCGCAGCGUCCGCUUACUGAACACAUAGGUUUGCGGACGGCAACCUGGGGAACUGAAACAUCUUAGUACCCAGAGGAAAAGAAAUCAACGAGAUUCCCUUAGUAGUGGCGAGCGAACGGGGACCAGCCCAAACCGCCUUUUGGCGGGGUUGUAGGACUGGCAUACGGAUUGGAACGGUUAGCAGAAAGGUGUGGGAAAGCCUACCAUAGAGGGUGAUAGUCCCGUAAGCGAAAACCGUGAAAAUCUAGCCAGUAUCCUGAGUACCACCGGACCCGUGUAAUCCGGUGGGAAUCCGGGGAGACCACUCUCCAAGGCUAAAUACACUUGGUGACCGAUAGUGAACAAGUACCGUGAGGGAAAGGUGAAAAGCACCCCGGUGAGGGGAGUGAAAUAGAACCUGAAACCAUAAGCUUACAACCGGUCGGAGGGCUAAUAGUUGGUCUGUGUCCCUAGGAGACUAGGUGAUGCGCAGCUAGGCCUGACGGCGUGCCUUUUGGAGAAUGAGCCUGCGAGUUAAUCUUUGUGGCAAGGCUAAGCGAGAUAACACGCGUAACCGCAGCGAAAGCGAGUCUGAAUAGGGCGUACAGUCGCAAGGAUUAGACACGAAACCUGGUGAGCUACCCAUGGACAGGGUGAAGCGAGUUUAACCGCUCGUGGAGGCCCGAACCUUUAGACGUUGCAAAGUCUUGGGAUGAGCUGUGGGUAGAGGUGAUAUGCCAAACGAACCAGGAGAUAGCUUGUUCUCCCCGAAAUAGCUUUAGGGCUAGCGUUAUGCGUUUAGUACUGGAGGUAGAGCACUGGAUGGGCGCGGGGGCUUACUGCUUACCAACCUCAACCAAACUCCGAAUGCCAGUACUCCAAAGCAUAGCAGUCGGACUACGGGAGAUGAGUUUCGUAGUCGAGAGGGAAACAGCCCAGACCAUCAGCUAAGGUCCCCAAGUCUACACUAAGUGGGAAACGAUGUGAGAUUACUGAGACAACCAGGAGGUUCGCUUAGAAGCAGCUAUCCUUUAAAAAGUGCGUAACAGCUUACUGGUCAAGUGAUCUUGCGCGGAAAAUGUAACGGGGCUAAGUGUAGCACCGAAGCUAUGGGUUUUAACUUAUCGUUAAAGCAGUAGGGGAGCGUUCCAUUUGCAGGGAAGGUCGACCGUGAGGACGGCUGGAGCGGAUGGAAGUGAGAAUGCAGGCAUGAGUAGCGCAAAACAUGUGAGAAUCAUGUUCGCCGUAAAUCUAAGGUUUCCGACGGCAGGUCAAUCCGCGUCGGGUUAGUCGGGCCUUAGCCGAGGCCGAGAGGCGUAGGCGAUGGACAUCCGGUCAACAUUCCGGAACCAUUCAAACGGAGCGAUGGGGGGACGCAGCGAGGUAGGCUAUGCCAGGUAUUUGGUAGUCCUGGCCUAAGUGUGUAGGCGUUGAGGCCUGUAGGUAAAUCCGCAGGCUGAGCUGAGGCACGAAUGCGAGCCAUUAAGGCGAAGUAGUUGAGCCUUGCUGCCAAGAAAAGCCUCUAAGCUAUGAUGUUUGAGUGUCCGUACCGCAAACCGACACUGGUAGAUGGGUAGAGAAUACCAAGGCGAACGGGAGAACCCUCGUUAAGGAACUAGGCAAAUUGACCCCGUAACUUCGGGAGAAGGGGUGCCUCCGUGUGUGAAAAUUAUUCUAUUGGAGCACAUGGAGGUCGCAGUGACAAGGCUCUGGCGACUGGUUAACAAAACCACAGGUCUCUGCUAAGUCGUAAGACGAUGUAUAGGGGCUGACGCCUGCCCGGUGCCGGAAGGUUAUGCGGAGGGGUUAGCGCAAGCGAAGCUCUGAAGCGAAGCCCCGGUGAACGGCGGCCGUAACUAUAACGGUCCUAAGGUAGCGAAAUUCCUUGUCGGGUAAGUUCCGACCCGCACGAAUGGCGUAACGACUGGAGCACUGUCUCAACGAGGGACCCGGUGAAAUUGAAGUACGAGUAAAGAUGCUCGUUACCCGCAGCAGGACAAAAAGACCCCGUGGAGCUUUACUGCAGCUUGGCAUUGGGUUACGGCUUAAACUGUGUAGCAUAGGUGGGAGGCUUUGAAGCUGGGGCGCUAGCCUCGGUGGAGCCAUCAGUGAAAUACCACCCUGUUUAAGUUUUGACUCUAACCCCACACCGUUAGCCGGGUGGGGAACCGUGUCAGGUGGGCAGUUUGACUGGGGCGGUCGCCUCCCAAAGAGUAACGGAGGCGCCCAAAGGUUCCCUCAGGUUGAAUGGAAACCAACCUAAGAGUGUAAAGGCAUAAGGGAGCUUGACUGUGAGGCCAACGCGCCGAGCAGAGACGAAAGUCGGGCUUAGUGAUCCCACGGUUCCGAGUGGAAGGGCCGUGGCUUACCGGAUAAAAGCUACCCCGGGGAUAACAGGCUAGUCACGCCCAAGAGUUCACAUCGACGGCGUGGCUCGGCACCUCGAUGUCGGCUCGUCGCAUCCUGGGGCUGUAUAAGGUCCCAAGGGUUGGGCUGUUCGCCCAUUAAAGCGGCACGCGAGCUGGGUUCAGACCGUCGUGAGACAGGUCGGUCUCUAUCCGCUGUGGGCGUAAGGGAUUUGAGAGAAGCUGCCCCUAGUACGAGAGGACCGGGGUGGACGGACCGCUGGUGUGCCAGUUGUCGUGCCAACGGCAUAGCUGGGUAGCUACGUCCGGCAGAGAUAACCGCUGAAAGCAUCUAAGCGGGAAACUCGUCUCAAGAUGAGAUCCCUCAUCACGCUAAGUGAGUAAGACCGCAGGAAGACCACCUGCUUGAUAGGCAGCAAGUGUAAGCGCAGCAAUGUGUUCAGCUAAGCUGUACUAAUGGUCGAGGGCUUAACUUUG